RNAcentral lists this long non-coding RNA (244 nucleotides) under Elaeis guineensis (African oil palm). Its description in RNAcentral is "long non-coding RNA (EGUI_LNC064379)". Lineage: Eukaryota; Viridiplantae; Streptophyta; Magnoliopsida; Arecales; Arecaceae. The record is from RNAcentral.
ACUCCCAGCACCAAGCACCUUCUUAUUCUUCUUCUUAUUUUCUUUUUUAAAGGGAUGAUGACUACCUGAAGAAGAUCCUCCCAUUAGAUUCACUGUCUCCUUGUGGAGCUGGUGAUCUUUCUUAAAAAUCUGUAGCAACCCCAAUAGACUGUGGUAGUUGACUACAGGUUUCAUCAUUCUAAAAUGAUUGAGGAACGAUAGGUAGGACUUGGGAAGAGAGUUUAAGAUCACAUCUUUCCCCAGC